Molecule: long non-coding RNA, 2225 nt
Filed under: Canis lupus familiaris (dog)
Lineage: Eukaryota; Metazoa; Chordata; Mammalia; Carnivora; Canidae
Description: lncRNA (ENSCAFG00845028308.1)
Source: RNAcentral
UUUAUUUAUUCAUGAGAGACACACACAGAGAGAGAAAGAGAGGCAGAGACACAGGCAGAGGGAGAAGCAGGCUCCAUGCAGGCAGCCUGAUGUGGGACUUGACCCUGGGGUCUCCAGGAUCACGCCCUGGGCCAAAGGCAAGCACUAAACCGCUGAGUCACCCGGGGAUCUCCUACAUUAAGCAUUAUUAACUACAACAGGUAACUGGAGCAAUGGGAGGGUAUGGCGGCUAAUAAGAAGAGAAUUCUAAAGAAUAUUAAGAAUAGCAGAUCUGAGGAGCAGCCACUACCCUAGGACAGGUAUAGAAGGCCCAGGAAGAGUCCCUCUUCUCAACUCCACCCCCCAUCAGCUGAGAUCUAGACCUCACCGAAGGGGUGUGGCCAUGGCCCACUGCUGUCAGGAUGGUCCCUGUGAUGCUAGACCGCUGGAACUUGUUGGUGUUCCCUCUCUAGGUGCUGGGGAAAGAUAGGUGUCUCAGGAGAGUCACUCCAUGACAAAAGUGCCAGGAGGUGGGGGUGGGGGAGAGAGUGAGGUGCUGCUGGCCAAUGGAUGCUUCUGGCCACCACAUACUGGAGGAGCUGGCCCUGGAAGAAUGACCCAUCUGCAGGAGUCUGGCCAAGGAGCAAAGGAGAACCAGGCAGAAAGACUGCCCCUGCAAAGUCUCUCCAUCGCUCCCUAUUGACAAAAGUUGAUAUAUAUGCCAGUGUCAAAGGAAAUGUUUUUAGAGUAGGCAAUUAAGAAUGAAUUUGUAGCAAGAGACAAUAAAUUGUUAACUGAUACAGAUGACAAAUAAAACUACAAGACACAAUGAAAUCAUCCAGGGAAUAAGUAUGGACAUAGAAGAGAAAAGCAAAGGUUGAGUCCUGUGGGCUGACAUUUAAACACGUCAGGUAGGAGUGGAAGAACCUUUAGCAAAGGCUACUGAGAAGGAGCAGCCAUGAUUGUGGGAGGUGUGCUGGGAACAACGAGAAUCUAAGAAUAGGGGGAGAGGAACUGGAGAACAUAUUGACAAUUCUUUUGUGAAAUUUUGCUACAGAAGGGCAUGGAGAAAAGGUGUAUUAUCUGUUACAGGAAAUGGGUCUAGAGGUUUUGUUCAAUUUUUGUUUUGAAGAUGAGAGAAAUAACUGCACAUUGUAGGAUGACGGGAAUAGCUCCGUAAAAGCUGAUGAUGCUGGGGAGAGGACAGACUGGGCGGAGCGACACCCUGGAGAUGACGGGAUCUUGCACCCAAGUGCAGGAUAUCUUUAGGGGGACAUAGUGGUAGUUCACCUACAGUAACAGGCAGGCAGCAGAGGGGGGCAUGCGUGGAUGUGGUGGUGGAAGUCUGUGACAGUGGGAGUCUCACUUCCAUUUUUUUUUUUUUAGUGAAGUCAGAGCAAGGAAGGGAGAGGUGGUGGGAAAGACUGAAGAGAGAAGAGGAGAUGAGAAAAACUCAUUUGGAAGAAGACAUAGACCAGGCAAAGUUAGCAUUAUUGAGCUGAGGGUGGUCAGCAUGGCUCUGGGUUUUCCUCCAGCCAUGUUUAGUUUCAUAUGUCGUAGCAAGGAGUAGAUGGAGAAUUGGGCUUACCCUGGGCUCUUAUUUUACCAAGCAGACAUGAUGAAGUGAUGGAGGUGAGGCAGCAUACAAGAGGCUGACGGUAAUGAGUGCCCUUGGAGUUUAAACUAGCUUACUAGAGAAGAAGGGUAAGUCACCAAGGGAGGAAGGAGUAAGAUCUGGGUCAGAGGUACCGGCUGGAUUAGUUGGUUCCAGGGCAUUAGAGGGACUAACCUUCUAAGACAGGAAGUGGCAGUCAGGGUGGGAAGCUUUGGGGGUUGCAAUCCUUGGACCUGGCAAGGUCUAGGGUUUAUCACGGGGGUGAGGGGCUGACAGGACAGAGGACAAGCGUGGGACUCAUGGAGCCAAGAGGAUGUUGGGAAGAUCGACUUACACUGAAAGCUCCAAGAAGAUACUGUCCGAGGGAAUUACAAAAUUACACACUCUUCGCGGAUGCGGGAGGUGUGUGUCCGGUAGGGCAGCCUCCCUAGCACUGCCGUGAGCGCCUGUGGGAUGCUGACGGCGAGAACAAGCUCACUGUGAAAGGCGCGAAGCACCGAGGUCUCAACUACCAGAAUGAGCCUAGUUUCGUGGGCGGCGGGGGCGGGCGGGGGCGGGGCUGAGUCUCAGGAGCACUGGUGGGUUCAUACUGAAAAGAAAACCUAAAAAAAAAAAAAAAAAAAAAAAAAAA